Molecule: long non-coding RNA, 307 nt
Filed under: Monodelphis domestica (gray short-tailed opossum)
Lineage: Eukaryota; Metazoa; Chordata; Mammalia; Didelphimorphia; Didelphidae
Description: lncRNA (ENSMODG00000045029.1)
Source: RNAcentral
GUGUGAUUCAAAUUAUAGGACAGCAGUGCCCAUUUUCAAGGUAGUAUUUAGCAGAGUUUCACACAGAUAUCUUUUUCUUUUUUUUUAAUAGUCCAUUUCUACUGGAAGUAGAGGGGCAAAAGAGUGACAAGCCUUAAAGCCACCCAGGAACUGCUCCUGCCCAAAAGAGCUGACAAGUGUAAGAAAGAAAGUAAACAGAGAGAACUACUACUGCUUGAAAUGGAGAAAGGACCUUAAAUGUAAUCCAGAGCAAGUGUUUUCCUGGCUGUUUGGAGGUCAGAAUGAGGACAUUCCUUUAUCCCAGUGA